GACGAACGCUGGCGGCGUGCUUAACACAUGCAAGUCGAACGGAAAGGCCCUGCUUUUGUGGGGUGCUCGAGUGGCGAACGGGUGAGUAACACGUGAGUAACCUGCCCUUGACUUUGGGAUAACUUCAGGAAACUGGGGCUAAUACCGGAUAGGAGCUCCUGCUGCAUGGUGGGGGUUGGAAAGUUUCGGCGGUUGGGGAUGGACUCGCGGCUUAUCAGCUUGUUGGUGGGGUAGUGGCUUACCAAGGCUUUGACGGGUAGCCGGCCUGAGAGGGUGACCGGCCACAUUGGGACUGAGAUACGGCCCAGACUCCUACGGGAGGCAGCAGUGGGGAAUAUUGCACAAUGGGCGGAAGCCUGAUGCAGCAACGCCGCGUGCGGGAUGACGGCCUUCGGGUUGUAAACCGCUUUCGCCUGUGACGAAGCGUGAGUGACGGUAAUGGGUAAAGAAGCACCGGCGACUACGUG
Molecule: ribosomal RNA, 467 nt
Filed under: uncultured bacterium
Lineage: Bacteria
Description: partial 16S ribosomal RNA
Rfam family: Bacterial small subunit ribosomal RNA
Source: RNAcentral